Molecule: ribosomal RNA, 248 nt
Filed under: uncultured Lactobacillus sp.
Lineage: Bacteria; Bacillati; Bacillota; Bacilli; Lactobacillales; Lactobacillaceae
Description: partial 16S ribosomal RNA
Rfam family: Bacterial small subunit ribosomal RNA
Source: RNAcentral
UACGUAGGUGGCAAGCGUUAUCCGGAUUUAUUGGGCGUAAAGGGAACGCAGGCGGUCUUUUAAGUCUGAUGUGAAAGCCUUCGGCUUAACCGGAGUAGUGCAUUGGAAACUGGGAGACUUGAGUGCAGAAGAGGAGAGUGGAACUCCAUGUGUAGCGGUGAAAUGCGUAGAUAUAUGGAAGAACACCAGUGGCGAAAGCGGCUCUCUGGUCUGUAACUGACGCUGAGGUUCGAAAGCGUGGGUAGCAA